Molecule: long non-coding RNA, 283 nt
Filed under: Gossypium barbadense (sea-island cotton)
Lineage: Eukaryota; Viridiplantae; Streptophyta; Magnoliopsida; Malvales; Malvaceae
Description: long non-coding RNA (GBAR_LNC010548)
Source: RNAcentral
UUGGGGCUAAAAGAUAACACAAAGGUAAGUUUGGUCCAGUGGCAGAGGCGCUGGGAGUGUGAUGUAGUACCUAUGUUCGUGGGUUGGCGCACGCAAAAGCUUGUUUUUAUUUUAGAAACCAGGUCACACUAAAGUAAGGUUUAAGAAAAGUUGCAACUGAGUUAUGCUACAAGGACGCUUGUGGCAGUAGGGUGCUAGGAGUUCCACAAGGGCACGGGUUCUAGUCCUGGAGCGGGCGAAUUCUGUUUUAUUUUUAAGGCAGGCCAGAACUGAAGCGGGUUAA